RNAcentral lists this small RNA (506 nucleotides) under Pongo abelii (Sumatran orangutan). Its description in RNAcentral is "retained intron". Lineage: Eukaryota; Metazoa; Chordata; Mammalia; Primates; Hominidae. The record is from RNAcentral.
GGUCUGUGGUCCUCUGAUCAGCGUAGCCUGGUGGGAGUACACGACUCGCCUCCUCAGGGUUCCCUGUGCUGCCACUUUUCAGCCAUGGCCACAAGUGAACAGAGUAUCUGCCAAGCCCGGGCUUCCGUCAUGGUCUACGAUGACACCAGUAAGAAAUGGGUACCAAUCAAACCUGGCCAGCAGGGAUUCAGCCGGAUCAACAUCUACCACAACACUGCCAGCAAUACCUUCAGAGUCGUUGGAGUCAAGCUGCAGGAUCAGCAGGUCAGUGCUGGAAUUACAGAUUAUACCCGUGAGCCUGCACACCACCUCCUCACCACCCACCCCUUACACACACGUAUCAUUAAGAGGUCAGAACAAAAAGGUCAAUAUUCGGAAUCAGAGGACCUGGGCUCAGAUUUUGACUCCAUAUCGUCAUAGUUCAAGGUAUGACACCUUAAGCAAACUGUUUCUGGAUUUCACUUUUUACCUAUGUCAUAUGGAGACAGUGAUCCACACCCUGCCUA